UGAGGAAUAUUGGGCAAUGGAGGCAACUCUGACCAGCCAUGCCGCGUGAGUGAAGAAGGUUUUCGGAUUGUAAAGCUCUUUCGGACAGGAAGAUAAUGACGGUACUGUCUAAAGAAGCCCCGGCUAACUUCGUGCCAGCAGCCGCGGUAAUACGAAGGGGGCGAGCGUUGUUCGGAAUUACUGGGCGUAAAGGGUGUGUAGGCGGCUUUGUAAGAUAGCGGUGAAAUACCUGGGCUUAACCUAGGAACUGCCGUUAUUACUAUAGAGCUAGAGUGAUAGAGAGGAUAUUGGAAUACCCAGUGUAGAGGUGAAAUUCGUAGAUAAUUGGGUAGAACAC
This 337-nucleotide ribosomal RNA is filed under the name uncultured Insolitispirillum sp. RNAcentral's name for it is "bacterial SSU rRNA". It matches the Rfam family "Bacterial small subunit ribosomal RNA", at positions 355 to 709 of the family's 1533-position model. The record is from RNAcentral. Lineage: Bacteria; Pseudomonadati; Pseudomonadota; Alphaproteobacteria; Rhodospirillales; Novispirillaceae.